AGUGAACGCUGGCGGCAGGCCUAACACAUGCAAGUCGAACGGCAGCACAAGAGAGCUUGCUCUCUGGGUGGCGAGUGGCGGACGGGUGAGGAAUGCAUCGGAAUCUGCCCAUUUGUGGGGGAUAACCUCGGGAAACCGGGACUAAUACCGCAUACGACCUACGGGUGAAAGCAGGGGAUCUUCUGACCUUUCGCAGAUGGAUGAGCCGAUGUCGGAUUAGCUAGUUGGAGGGGUAAAGGCCCACCAAGGCGACGAUCCGUAGCUGGUCUGAGAGGAUGAUCAGCCACACUGGGACUGAGACACGGCCCAGACUCCUACGGGAGGCAGCAGUGGGGAAUAUUGGACAAUGGGCGCAAGCCUGAUCCAGCCAUGCCGCGUGUGUGAAGAAGGCCUUCGGGUUGUAAAGCACUUUUGUUGGGAAAGAAAAGCAGCCGGUUAAUACCCGGUUGUCAUGACGGUACCCAAAGAAUAAGCACCGGCUAACUUCGUG
Molecule: ribosomal RNA, 490 nt
Filed under: uncultured bacterium
Lineage: Bacteria
Description: partial 16S ribosomal RNA
Rfam family: Bacterial small subunit ribosomal RNA
Source: RNAcentral